GCCUGGGUGGCUCAGUCAGUUAAGCAUCUGACUUCAACUCAGGUCAUGAUCUUGGGGCUUGUGAGUUCAAGCCUCGCGUCAGGCU
Molecule: transfer RNA, 85 nt
Filed under: Felis catus (domestic cat)
Lineage: Eukaryota; Metazoa; Chordata; Mammalia; Carnivora; Felidae
Also listed under: 1 other name
Rfam family: tRNA
About the family: Transfer RNA (tRNA) molecules are approximately 80 nucleotides in length. Their secondary structure includes four short double-helical elements and three loops (D, anti-codon, and T loops). Further hydrogen bonds mediate the characteristic L-shaped molecular structure. tRNAs have two regions of fundamental functional importance: the anti-codon, which is responsible for specific mRNA codon recognition, and the 3' end, to which the tRNAs corresponding amino acid is attached (by aminoacyl-tRNA synthetases). tRNAs cope with the degeneracy of the genetic code in two manners: having more than one tRNA (with a specific anti-codon) for a particular amino acid; and 'wobble' base-pairing, i.e. permitting non-standard base-pairing at the 3rd anti-codon position.
Source: Rfam by way of RNAcentral